CCACUAGGAAUCCACCAAUGGAUUUUAGCACACCCCAUUGCUAUUGCCUUUCCCCUCUGCCUCUUGCCCACGAGAUGCCAUCUAGUGGCACAGGUAAGAUGCCGCCAACCAAAGGACUGGCAAGAGGGGAGAAGGAGAAGGGAAGAGAAGUGGAGGGGAGAGGGCCUCUCAAAGCUUCUGGUCUGAAGUAGUGCACGUGACUCCCUCCCACACUCAGUUGGCCAAAGCAAGGUCACUAGAGCAGCCAGAGCUGGGCAGGGUUGGGCUAUAGAAUCCGGUCCCAGGGAGGAGAAGCUGAUCAGAACAGUAGGACCUGUCACAGUCCCUCUCCUAAAAGACUGUCCUAGAUUGUCUCAGGGAAUGACCUUUUUUCUCCCCUUCUGUUGAAGUUUAAUUUACAAAUCAGAGGUGCACAGCCCAGGAGAUUUGCACAAGGGCACAUCAGGAGGCAAGGCUGCCCGCAGAACAGAGGACCCGCCGCCCUCUCGCUUAGGACCACCGUUCCUCCAAAACCCAGCAGGGGUUUUCUCUAAGUGCCGUGGUAUGUCUGCUCAGAAGGAGAUGUCCGCCUGCUUUCCAUGGGUGCGGUCUGACCUAGGAGGACACCAUUUUAAGCAGGAGUGUCUACCCUGACCUGAGAGUCUCCUUAAUUCCCCAGGUGUGUCUACCCUGACCUGGAAUAUCUUAAUAACUCAGAUAUGUCUUCAUUACCGUGGAUUUCUCACUAGUUCCUCAGGUGUCUCUACCCUGACUUGGAAUAUCUCUCUGAUUCUCCAAGUGUGCCUUAACUGACCUGGGAUGGCUCCCCUGUUCCACAAGUAUGUUGAUCCAAACUUGGAUGUAUACCUAAUUUCCCAGGCAUCCAUCCAUGAAUAAAAGUGCCUCUGAGAUACAGCCCCAAAUGCCAAAGGAUCCAGGAAUAGUGUCACCCAACUAUGCAUCCAUUAGUAGGCAACAGCCCUCCAUAGAGACUGCACACCCAGCCAGAGCCCUGAGGGGGCCUGCUUAAACCAUCUUGCUACUAUCAAAGAAACCUCAAGAGUGCUGAUUUGGACAGACAUCCACAGACAAGGGAGGCCUUAUGGGAGUCCAAUAUGCCCCAAGUGGAGGUCCUUGGAGUCUGGAUACACUGGAAAUGAUAAAAAGAACUUUGCUAAUGCCACCCCUCCUCAAAAGUGACACUAUGUGGGGGCUCAACUAGAAGGCAGCAAACUCUCCUGCUGGAAGGGGAACUAGGAGUACCUGGCUUCCUCAGCCAUGUGGGAUGCUGCAGGAGAAAUCCAUUCCCUCUGGCAGCACCCAGAUUACUGAGGCAGGUUAUCCAUGACUCCAGGAAAGAGAUCAGGAAACAGGUGGAUGAGAAGAUCAAAGGGUAUUGAAGGGACACUGUCCUGAUGAUAGGAUAACAACCGGAAGUUCACUCAUGAGCUUCUGGAAGAACCUCCACCUGAGGAUCCCCAGCCAUCUAAGAGUAUUGAACCCAUACAUCCCCAGUGCUGUGGCUGGCUCCCUGGGGCAACCCUUCUGGGAAACAGGAGAGGUGAGUUCCACAGACCAGAGAAGACAUACAAGCUCGAGAAUUCUUCCCCAAGAAGGGGCAGAAGCAUGGCGCAAAUGUAUCCACAAAGGGACAGAGAACAUCCAGAUCUAACAGUAUAUCCCACCUGAAGGCAAUUUGCAAAGACUAAGGUGGUGUUCACCACUCCACAUAUCAGAGCAGCAACAUAAAACUACAAGGAACAUGAAGAAUCAAGGAACAUGUCAUCACCAAAAGGUAACAAUAAUCUAACAAUAAUCCUCCAAUAACCAAACAUAAAGGCUAAAGUUUGUGAUCUAGCUGAUAAGGAGACCAAAGAAAACAUACAAAGGAUUUUUUUUUCAGAAACAAUAAAGAGAAAAAAAGAAACAAAUUCUGGGAUUAAAGAAUUCCAUGAAUGGGAUGAAAAACGCAUCCACAGCAGAGUGGAUAAAAUAGAAGAUAGAAUAAGUGAGCUACAGGAUAGGAACUUUGAAAGAGCAUUACAAAAGCAUAGACUAUCUAUGGGACUCCAUCAAAAAUACAUAUAUCAGAAAAAUUACAGUUCCAGAAGGAGAAGCAUGAAGGGCAUCUGGGUGGCUGUUAGUUAAGUGGCUGUCUUUGGCUCUG
Long non-coding RNA from Canis lupus familiaris (dog), 2146 nucleotides. RefSeq lists it as uncharacterized. The record is from RefSeq and is a predicted model, not a curated record. NCBI's taxonomy places the organism in Eukaryota, Metazoa, Chordata, Mammalia, Carnivora, Canidae. The transcript is spliced from 5 exons.